UACGUAGGGUGCGAGCGUUAAUCGGAAUUACUGGGCGUAAAGCGUGCGCAGGCGGAUGUUUAAGUUAGAAGUGAAAUCCCCGGGCUCAACCUGGGAAUGGCUUUUAAGACUGGGCAUCUAGAGUUUGUCAGAGGGGGGUGGAAUUCCAAGUGUAGCAGUGAAAUGCGUAGAGAUUUGGAGGAACACCGAUGGCGAAGGCAGCCCCCUGGGAUAGAACUGACGCUCAUGUACGAAAGCGUGGGUAGCAAAC
RNAcentral lists this ribosomal RNA (250 nucleotides) under uncultured bacterium. RNAcentral describes it as "partial 16S ribosomal RNA". It matches the Rfam family "Bacterial small subunit ribosomal RNA", at positions 524 to 773 of the family's 1533-position model. The record is from RNAcentral.